Long non-coding RNA from Populus trichocarpa (black cottonwood), 700 nucleotides. RefSeq lists it as uncharacterized. The record is from RefSeq and is a predicted model, not a curated record. Lineage: Eukaryota; Viridiplantae; Streptophyta; Magnoliopsida; Malpighiales; Salicaceae. The transcript has 2 exons.
UAGAAGUUCUUAAUUUGUUGAUUUUGCCAGAGAUUAGAUAAUGGUGACGUCAUAAUAUUAAAAAAUACAGCAUAAAACCAUAAUAGAAUUGACAAGGUUCAAUUCCUUCAAAAAUUGCUAAAUAAUAUCACAAAAAAGAGAAAAGGAAAAGAAAGAAAAAAGAGCAAACAUAUUGGACAAGAAUACCCCUCAACCGUGACUCUCAAACCCUAAAAACCCUGUGCCUAUAAAAUGCAUAGAACCCCAUCUUUCUCUCAAGAAUUCACUCUCCAGGAAUCUCAUCCACUCUACAUCGGCUAAUUGAGAAAGAGAUCUACAAGGAAACAGAUACCUCUGAUCCAGGAUGAGAGCUAAGUGGAAGAAGAAGCGUAUGAGGAGGUUGAAGAGGAAGCGCAGAAAGAUGAGGCAGAGAUCCAAGUAGGCUGCGGGCUUGGACAAGAUGGAUCUUUUUUCUACUGGUACAUGCCUAUGAUGCUUAUGGCUUUGUGCUGCGUGAAGCUGUGGGGAUGAGGGAUGUGUAUUAGGGAAUGUUUCAUCUUGUAUGGUUUUAAGACUGCUUCUGCUUUUAGUAUUCUGUUGGCUUUAAUUUUGUGUUGUAUUUGACGACUUUACUUUAAUAUAUUGCUUAUGGAUGGAUGAAUGAAACUUUGUUAUAAAAUGAUUAAAACAGCAAUGAACUUCUAUGAAUUGUUUUCCACAA